GAUGAACGCUGGCGGCGUGCCUAAUACAUGCAAGUAGAACGCUGAAGGAAGGAGCUUGCUCUUUCCGGAUGAGUUGCGAACGGGUGAGUAACGCGUAGGUAACCUGCCUGGUAGCGGGGGAUAACUAUUGGAGACGAUAGCUAAUACCGCAUAACAGUAGAUGUUGCAUGACAUCUGCUUGAAAGGUGCAAUUGCACCACUACCAGAUGGACCUGCGUUGUAUUAGCUAGUUGGUGAGGUAACGGCUCACCAAGGCGACGAUACAUAGCCGACCUGAGAGGGUGAUCGGCCACACUGGGACUGAGACACGGCCCAGACUCCUACGGGAGGCAGCAGUAGGGAAUCUUCGGCAAUGGACGGAAGUCUGACCGAGCAACGCCGCGUGAGUGAAGAAGGUUUUCGGAUCGUAAAGCUCUGUUGUAAGAGAAGAACGAGUGUGAGAGUGGAAAGUUCACA
RNAcentral lists this ribosomal RNA (456 nucleotides) under Streptococcus australis. RNAcentral describes it as "bacterial SSU rRNA". It matches the Rfam family "Bacterial small subunit ribosomal RNA", at positions 28 to 468 of the family's 1533-position model. Lineage: Bacteria; Bacillati; Bacillota; Bacilli; Lactobacillales; Streptococcaceae. The record is from RNAcentral.